GCCAUUUUACUUUUAGUUCCUUGCCUCUUCGGUUCGGCUGUACCAUGAACGAGGCUAUAACCCGUAGGGAGCAAUCAUG
Molecule: regulatory RNA element, 79 nt
Organism: Agarivorans albus MKT 106
Lineage: Bacteria; Pseudomonadati; Pseudomonadota; Gammaproteobacteria; Alteromonadales; Alteromonadaceae
Rfam family: RpsF leader
About the family: Conserved and widely distributed to many bacterial species RNA structure. It precedes operon containing rpsF, which encodes ribosomal protein S6.
Source: Rfam